Molecule: long non-coding RNA, 1118 nt
Filed under: Monodelphis domestica (gray short-tailed opossum)
Lineage: Eukaryota; Metazoa; Chordata; Mammalia; Didelphimorphia; Didelphidae
Description: lncRNA (ENSMODG00000041795.1)
Source: RNAcentral
AUGGAACGGGGUGAAAGGGGGAAGGGCCAGGAGGGGGCAUUGCAAAUGGACCCUUGGAAGCAAAAAAAAAAAUGCUGCCUGCAACUUCCACCAAUGAACAUCGGGCGAGAUGGGAAGAAGGGAAGUCCCAGGCUCAUUUGACAGAAGAAGAAACUGAGGUCCAAUAGAGUUAAGUAACUUGCCCAGGUAGGAAGUAUUUGAGAUUGGAUUUGAACUCCAGAAGAUGAGUCUUCCUGACUUCAGGCCCAGCACUCUAUCCACCAUGCCCCCUGGUUGCCCUUCUAAUCUAUUGGAUAUAAAUUUACCCCAUUAUUAACAUUAUUAAUUAUCAUUAGAAUCCAACCGACUGUUGGAAAGAUUUAGAGGCUGAUGUGGGUUAAUGGAGUAUAUAUUUGCUUGGGUCAAAUGAUGGCCUGUUAUAUUCUCUGAAGGCCCUUUCAGGAGCCUAUGAAUCAGCUAGGUGGCUAGGUAAGAAAGGGAUUAAGGGGAUUCCUAAAAGGUUUGGGUCAUGCAUGCAUGAAUGAAUGAAAAAGGAUUCUAUUAAGUGCUGACUAUAUGCUAAGCACUGGACUUACAAAUUUACAGAGACAACAUAAUUAGGAGUUUUCAGAUAGCAGUGACACAGAAAGGUCCCAUGGUCCUUAGGGUGCAGGGACAAAGCAGAAGAUAAUACAUCUUCUUUAAUGUUACUUCUACUUUAUCUCAUAAUCAUGGUGACAUGGAGAAGUCCCAUUAGAGUUUGAAGAUAUUCUAGAGCUGAGAGGCCUUUUUCUUUUUAAACCCUUACCUUCCAUCUUAGAAGCAAUACUAUGUUUUGGUUCCAAGGCAGAAGAGCAGUAAGGGCUAGGUAAUGAAGGUUAAGUGACUUGCCCAGGGUCACACAGGCAGGCCAUGUUUGAGAGCAAAUCUGUACCCAGGAUCUCCUCCUAAAAGGAACUUUAAUGGCAAUCUAUUUGUUUUACAGGUGAGCAAACUAGGAACUGAAGAGACUUGACCAAGGAUCUGCAGAGCUGGGAUUUGAAUCCAGAUGCUAUUGAGUUCAGCCCCAGUGUUGUUUUCACUACCCUUCUUUAGAACUGCAAAAUAAAUAAAUUCAGGAAAUUAUUUAUUGGUAAAUA